This 1217-nucleotide ribosomal RNA is filed under the name Salmonella enterica subsp. enterica serovar Enteritidis. Its description in RNAcentral is "partial 23S ribosomal RNA". It matches the Rfam family "Bacterial large subunit ribosomal RNA", at positions 1 to 1251 of the family's 2925-position model. Lineage: Bacteria; Pseudomonadati; Pseudomonadota; Gammaproteobacteria; Enterobacterales; Enterobacteriaceae. The record is from RNAcentral.
GGGUUGUGAGGUUAAGCGACUAAGCGUACACGGUGGAUGCCCUGGCAGUCAGAGGCGAUGAAGGGCGUGCUAAUCUGCGAUAAGCGCCGGUAAGGUGAUAUGAACCGUUAUAACCGGCGAUACCCGAAUGGGGAAACCCAGUGUGACUCGUCACACUAUCAUUAACUGAAUCCAUAGGUUAAUGAGGCGAACCGGGGGAACUGAAACAUCUAAGUACCCCGAGGAAAAGAAAUCAACCGAGAUUCCCCCAGUAGCGGCGAGCGAACGGGGAGGAGCCCAGAGCCUGAAUCAGCAUGUGUGUUAGUGGAAGCGUCUGGAAAGGCGCGCGAUACAGGGUGACAGCCCCGUACACAAAAGCGCAUGUGCUGUGAGCUCGAUGAGUAGGGCGGGACACGUGGUAUCCUGUCUGAAUAUGGGGGGACCAUCCUCCAAGGCUAAAUACUCCUGACUGACCGAUAGUGAACCAGUACCGUGAGGGAAAGGCGAAAAGAACCCCGGCGAGGGGAGUGAAAAAGAACCUGAAACCGUGUACGUACAAGCAGUGGGAGCACCCUUUGGGUGUGACUGCGUACCUUUUGUAUAAUGGGUCAGCGACUUAUAUUCUGUAGCAAGGUUAACCGAAUAGGGGAGCCGGAGGGAAACCGAGUCUUAACCGGGCGUUAAGUUGCAGGGUAUAGACCCGAAACCCGGUGAUCUAGCCAUGGGCAGGUUGAAGGUUGGGUAACACUAACUGGAGGACCGAACCGACUAAUGUUGAAAAAUUAGCGGAUGACCUGUGGCUGGGGGUGAAAGGCCAAUCAAACCGGGAGAUAGCUGGUUCUCCCCGAAAGCUAUUUAGGUAGCGCCUCGUGAAUUCAUCUCCGGGGGUAGAGCACUGUUUCGGCUAGGGGGCCAUCCCGGCUUACCAACCCGAUGCAAACUGCGAAUACCGGAGAAUGUUAUCACGGGAGACACACGGCGGGUGCUAACGUCCGUCGUGAAGAGGGAAACAACCCAGACCGCCAGCUAAGGUCCCAAAGUCAUGGUUAAGUGGGAAACGAUGUGGGAAGGCCCAGACAGCCAGGAUGUUGGCUUAGAAGCAGCCAUCAUUUAAAGAAAGCGUAAUAGCUCACUGGUCGAGUCGGCCUGCGCGGAAGAUGUAACGGGGCUAAACCAUGCACCGAAGCUGCGGCAGCGACACUGUGUGUUGUUGGGUAGGGGAGCGUUCUGUAAGCCUG